Mesocricetus auratus (golden hamster) is the source of this 1620-nucleotide long non-coding RNA. RefSeq lists it as uncharacterized. NCBI's taxonomy places the organism in Eukaryota, Metazoa, Chordata, Mammalia, Rodentia, Cricetidae. The record is from RefSeq and is a predicted model, not a curated record. The transcript is spliced from 4 exons.
GCCACCAUGCUUCCCGCCAUGAUGAGAAUGGACUGAACCUCUGAAACCAUGUCUACAGGUACUGAGAAGUUAUAGAUGCACCUCUAGGAUGGAAAGGUGAAUGUAUCAAAAGAAAAUUUAUCAGGAAAGGACCUAAUGGGAAAGACUGCCUGGAAAGUCCCUGCACAGUUUGCCUAAGGAGAGUCAUGAAGGAGAUGGGCUCCACAGAGUCAACAGAGAGAUGAACAACCAGUAAGAGGCUGCAUCGUGAGUACUUCAUGUCUUGAAAAGCAUUGCGCUGAGCCUUCAUUACCAGCCACUCAAUGUCUGACUUUGGGUACGGCAUUUCCUUCCCUGAGCUUUGGUGGGCCAAGUGAGGAGGUUUGGACUCAGCCAUCUCUGAUGACCCUAGGAUAUUCAGACCGCCUUUAAAGGAAGGAGUUAAAAUGCACAAGAAUCCUGUGAGGUGUUUGGUCAGGGCUUUGUGAGCAUAACUAACAGCAAUGGAGAGGCUACGGAAGUAGCCAUGUUUAAGUGAGUCACAAAGGUGUGGUCCUGCCGCCCGAUUCCAUGAUUAGUGGCCUCACAAAGAGAUGCAGAGAUCUCUCUCCCUCGGCUCUCAUCACCAUCUCUGGAAACUGCAAAGAACAGUCCUUAUGAAAAUCCAAACUGGCCAGUACCUGGAUUCUGAACUUACACCUGGGGAGCUGUGAGAUAAUACACAUCUGUGUUUAAGCCCUGUGGUCAGCUUUCAGCUCUGUACAACACUGAGAAGCUUCUUGCAUGCAUUGUCUGGAAGGGAAAGAAACCUGUUUCUGCCAUUGCUUGGCUGUGUGACCUUGGCCAUAUCCUUCACCACUGUGAGGCUGUACAUUGUCAUCUGCCCAGUGGAAAUAAUGGUUGCCUACUUGCCGUCUUGAAUGCAGUAAGAACUAAGGGGCUAACAUUGUCUUCCAUAGCCUAAUCACAUCAUCUCCCACUGAAAAAAUAUCCACAACAGAUGAAUGGAUGGAGAAAAUAUCGUAUAUAUGCUUGUGGAUUGGGAACAUUAAUGCUGUGAAAAUGACUAUCUUAAAAGUGGCACGCAGUCAAUACAAUUCCCAUAAAAAUUAUAACAUCAUCCUUUGUAGAAGCAGAAAAAAAUCUUAAAAUCCAUUUGGAAACACAAGACCUUGGAUAGUUCAGUCUUAAGGGAAAAAAUACUAUUAGAGGUACCACCAUACCCGAUUUGAAGUUAUAUUACAUGGCCACAGGAUAAAAAACAAAACAAAACAGUAUUAUGCUGACACAAAGGCAGAAGCAGAGAUCAGUUAAUAAGACAGAAAGUCCAGAUAAAAACCUGCAUAGCUUCAGCCUCCUGAUUUUUGAUAAAGACACCAAAAACACACACUUGAGAAAGAGGGUUGUAUAGUGGCAUCUUGCCUUGCCAGUGAACUUGUGGUGGUGGCCACACCCUUUGGGUGUGGUUUCAGGUACAGAUGUGACCCAUUAUAAGGUAGAGGAGGGGCGGGCUCCCACUCUCUUGGGUUGCAGAGAGCAUCAGGAGGGCAAAGACUGCAUCUUCUGGAGCAGGAAGACCGUGGCGGUUAUUUGCUCUUAUCUGAGUAAGUAACUCCCUAAUAAAUACCUAUUUAUCGAUUA